Molecule: ribosomal RNA, 253 nt
Filed under: uncultured bacterium
Lineage: Bacteria
Description: partial 16S ribosomal RNA
Rfam family: Bacterial small subunit ribosomal RNA
Source: RNAcentral
UACGUAGGUGGCAAGCGUUGUCCGGAUUUACUGGGCGUAAAGGGCGUGCAGGCGGUUUGUUAAGUGCAGGGUGAAAGCUCCCGGCUCAACUGGGAGAGGUCCUUGCAUACUGGCGAACUCGAGGGAGGCAGAGGAAAGUGGAAUUCCCGGUGUAGUGGUGAUAUGCGUAGAUAUCGGGAGGAACACCUGUGGCGAAGGCGGCUUUCUGGGCCUUACCUGACGCUGAGACGCGAAAGCGUGGGGAACGAACCGG